Ictalurus punctatus (channel catfish) is the source of this 382-nucleotide long non-coding RNA. The record is from Ensembl. NCBI's taxonomy places the organism in Eukaryota, Metazoa, Chordata, Actinopteri, Siluriformes, Ictaluridae.
GUUAGAUUUAGGCAAAGUCUAAAUCUGUGUGUGUGUGUGUGUGUGUGUGUGUGUGUGUGUGUGUGUUUAAGUGUAGGUGCAUGUGUAUAGGUGUAUGUGUGUGUAGAUUGUAUGUGUGUAGGUGUGUGUAUGUGUUUAGGUGUAGGUGUGUGUAUGUGUGUGUUUAGGUGUAGGUGUGUCGGUGCUUAGGUGUGUGUGUGUAGGCGUGUGUGUGUGUGUGUGUGUGCAGGUGUGCAUGUGCAGGUGUGUGUAUAGGUGUGUCUGUGCUUAGGUGUAUGCAGGUGUGUGUAUGUGUGUGUGUAUGUGUGUGCGUAUGUUUAGGUGUAGGUGCGUGUAUGUGUGUGUUUAAGUAUGUGUUUAGGUGUGUGUGUGGGUGUAGGUG